Oncorhynchus keta (chum salmon) is the source of this 222-nucleotide long non-coding RNA. RefSeq lists it as uncharacterized. NCBI's taxonomy places the organism in Eukaryota, Metazoa, Chordata, Actinopteri, Salmoniformes, Salmonidae. The transcript has 3 exons. The record is from RefSeq and is a predicted model, not a curated record.
AGGAUACUCUGGAGAAGUCUGAGAGUCCAGUAGAAUCCCUUGAGGAUUCCCCCAGCUUCUCCAAGGUCUUAUUCAUCUCAGGAGACAGAUUGGAGCUACUGACCAGUACGGAUGAUGAAGCGUACAUGCCAGACGAGAAGCCAAUGGUUUUACUGAUGAGCAGAUCAUGGCAUGACCUGAGAGGACAGGAGAUGGGGUCACUGAUGGGAGCGCCAGCGGCAG